AAAUUUCUAAACCAGUCAGAUAAUCCUAAGAUGCAUAAAAUCACUUAUUUAAAUAGGUUUAUCUUCCAUGAUAUUCCAAUAAAAUUCAUCAUACUCAGAACUGAAUUUCAUAAGCACUUCGGCCGUCAACAGUACGACAUCGCCAUCAUUUAGAAAAUUAUUCAACAACUUCCAUAAGAAGAGAUUAUAAAAUCCUCUCAACAUAAAUGUAAAAGUAACGUAACAUAUCUAACCAGUGUUACAUUACAGAGCAAGACACUUAUUUUAUAAUAAUAAUAAUAAUAACGUAAGCUAAGACUCUCCGAAGCUACUCCUCAUGAGCCACAUCUCUACCUCCUGUACCUGAGCGAUGUCGCAUAGAACAUCAUUCCAACAGAAGGGUAAGAACUUACAUUGUAUAAAAUAUAACAUAACAAAGAGCAAGUAAACAAUUCAGAUCCUGCUUUAUAAACUCUUCACCUUUACUUUAAAAUCUGAGUGAUUAUAAUAUUUUCUCUCAAGACAGUUUCACAAUUCUUAUUAAUGUUUCGAAAAAUUAUAAGCUUAAAGAAAAAUAAUAAUUCGACUUUACCACAACAGCAAAACAAUUCACCAACAAAUCACCAAACACAUAAAACCACUGAAAACGUGAAACUUAGUGUGUGAGACUCUAAUGUAUGCAUGUGGUACCAAUUGUUAACCUUAGCGGUAUCACCGCGUCCACUCCAGACAGUUAACCACCAAUGAAGUCCACUCCAGACUUCCAGAACCACGCCAGUUCUGGGACAAACCUCAGUUUUCCGAUGAAAACCGACACGUUGCCUCUUGACUAAAUGAAGUGUAUUUCGUGCAAAAACUCAUAAAUUAAAACAUGCAAUUUGAGACCACUCCAGCCCCAAAUAUAUAACAUAUUUUCUCACCAAAUUCCAUAACGGAAAUCACACCAAAAUUGCACAAAAUAACACUUCAAUACAAUUAUCAAAUCAUUCACUAUUCCACUGACAAAAUAGCAACACAAAAUCAUCAAAUGUCUCAUAUCAAUUACUAGAAUCAGUUUCAGAAUCAAUCUCAGAAAUAAGCAGAAACAUAGCAAACUUGCAUAUAAUCCUGGUACUAAAUGAGCAGUCCAAAAAUUAUGAAAAUUUUACCAAACAUAGCCUUAUACGUUAGCUUUCAUAUAAAAUUGGUUUCACCCAAUUUGGAAUUCUGUAGAGAGAGUUAUGGUCUCUACAGCACAGGCUGUUAGGGUUUCUGCGAGCAGAAACAGAGUGAACUUGCAGAUAAUUCUGGUAUUGAACCAACAAUCUAAAAAUUAUGAUAAUAUUACCCAAUAUAGCCCUAUGAGUUAGCUUUCAUACAAAAUUGGUUUCACUCAAUUCGGAAUUCUGUAGAGAGAGUUAUGCUCUCUAUAACACAGGCUGCUAGGGUGUCUGCGGGCAGAAACAGAAUAAACUUGCAAAUGAUUCCGGUAUUGAACAGCAAUCGAAAAAUUAUGAAAAUAUUACCCAACAUAGCCCUAUGAGUUAGCUUUCAUAUAAAAUUGGUUUCACUCAAUUUGGAAUUCUGUAGAGAGAGUUAUGCUCUCUACAACACAGAUUGUUAGGGUAUCUGCGGGCAAAACAUAACAGAACCCAAUUUUCCCCGGAACCUCAAUUUCGCUCAAAAUCAAUUUUUCUCACCACAUGUUAACACUCAACACAGUCUCUCAGUUCUGAAUUUUCAAAAAAGAUGAGGGUUCCUUCAUGUUAAACUCAACCUCUGUUAUUCUACAAUUAUACAAGAUAAAUUCAAACCCUUACCUCUUGAAGAUCAAAUUCUAGGUUUUUUCUUCUCUUUUCUCCCCUUCUCUCUUUCACGCUUCUUUUCUUCUCCUCUGCUAACUUCUCCAAUUCUCAAAUUCUGAUUUCUC
Molecule: long non-coding RNA, 1888 nt
Filed under: Lotus japonicus
Lineage: Eukaryota; Viridiplantae; Streptophyta; Magnoliopsida; Fabales; Fabaceae
Description: long non-coding RNA (LJAP_LNC001798)
Source: RNAcentral